CCGCGGUAAUACGAAGGGUGCAAGCGUUACUCGGAAUUACUGGGCGUAAAGCGCACGUAGGCGGCUGUCCAAGUCAGGGGUGAAAGCCCGGGGCUCAACCCCGGAAUAGCCCUUGAAACUGGAAGGCUAGAAUCACGGAGAGGUGGGUGGAAUUCCGAGUGUAGAGGUGAAAUUCGUAGAUAUUCGGAAGAACACCAGUGGCGAAGGCGGCCCACUGGACGUGUAUUGACGCUGAGGUGCGAAAGCGUGGGGAGCAAACAGG
RNAcentral lists this ribosomal RNA (262 nucleotides) under uncultured bacterium. RNAcentral's name for it is "partial 16S ribosomal RNA". It matches the Rfam family "Bacterial small subunit ribosomal RNA", at positions 515 to 776 of the family's 1533-position model. The record is from RNAcentral.